This 498-nucleotide ribosomal RNA is filed under the name uncultured bacterium. RNAcentral describes it as "partial 16S ribosomal RNA". It matches the Rfam family "Bacterial small subunit ribosomal RNA", at positions 30 to 523 of the family's 1533-position model. The record is from RNAcentral.
AUUGAACGCUGGCGGCAUGCCUUACACAUGCAAGUCGAACGGUAACAGGUCUUCGGAUGCUGACGAGUGGCGAACGGGUGAGUAAUACAUCGGAACGUGCCUAGUAGUGGGGGAUAACUACUCGAAAGAGUGGCUAAUACCGCAUGAGAUCUACGGAUGAAAGCAGGGGAUCGCAAGACCUUGUGCUACUAGAGCGGCCGAUGGCAGAUUAGGUAGUUGGUGGGAUAAAAGCUUACCAAGCCGACGAUCUGUAGCUGGUCUGAGAGGACGAUCAGCCACACUGGGACUCAGACACGGCCCAGACUCCUACGGGAGGCAGCAGUGGUGAAUUUUGGACAAUGGGCGAAAGCCUGAUCCAGCAAUGCCGCAUGCAGGAUGAAGGCCUUCGGGUUGUAAACUGCUUUUGUACGGAACGAAAAGCCCCGGGUUAAUACCCUGGGGUCAUGACGGUACCGUAAGAAUAAGCACCGGCUAACUACGUGCCAGCCGCCGCCGUAA